RNAcentral lists this transfer RNA (72 nucleotides) under Camelus bactrianus (Bactrian camel). It matches the Rfam family "tRNA". Rfam says of the family: Transfer RNA (tRNA) molecules are approximately 80 nucleotides in length. Their secondary structure includes four short double-helical elements and three loops (D, anti-codon, and T loops). The record is from Rfam by way of RNAcentral. Lineage: Eukaryota; Metazoa; Chordata; Mammalia; Artiodactyla; Camelidae. RNAcentral also lists the same sequence under 2 other names.
GAGGGUAUAGCUCAGUGGUAGAAUGUGUGCUUAGCAUGCACAAGGUCCUGCGUUUAAUCCCCAGUACCUCCA